UGAGGGAAUAUUUGGGGUCAAUGGGGCGCUAGCCUGAACCAGCCAAGUAGCGUGAAGGAUGAAGGCUCUAUGGGUCGUAAACUUCUUUUAUAUAAGAAUAAAGUGCAGUAUGUAUACUGUUUUGUAUGUAUUAUAUGAAUAAGGAUCGGCUAACUCCGUGCCAGCAGCCGCGGUAAUACGGAGGAUCCGAGCGUUAUCCGGAUUUAUUGGGUUUAAAGGGAGCGUAGGCGGGCGCUUAAGUCAGCUGUGAAAGUUUGGGGCUCAACCUUAAAAUUGCAGUUGAUACUGGGUGCCCUGAGUGCAGUAUAGGCAGGCGGAAUUCGUGGUGUAGCGGUGAAAUGCUUAGAUAUCACGAAGAACUCCUAUUGCGAAGGCAGCUUGCUGGAGUGUAACUGACGCUGAUGCUCGAAAGUGUGGGUAUCAAACAGGAUUAGAUACCCUGGUAGU
RNAcentral lists this ribosomal RNA (447 nucleotides) under uncultured Bacteroides sp. RNAcentral's name for it is "bacterial SSU rRNA". It matches the Rfam family "Bacterial small subunit ribosomal RNA", at positions 354 to 794 of the family's 1533-position model. The record is from RNAcentral. Lineage: Bacteria; Pseudomonadati; Bacteroidota; Bacteroidia; Bacteroidales; Bacteroidaceae.